This 1515-nucleotide ribosomal RNA is filed under the name Triticum aestivum (bread wheat). RNAcentral describes it as "partial small subunit ribosomal RNA". The record is from RNAcentral. Lineage: Eukaryota; Viridiplantae; Streptophyta; Magnoliopsida; Poales; Poaceae.
AUGGACGCCUCCGCCGCCGCCGCCGAAAUCGCUGCCAACGGGGUGCUGGCGAAGCUGGAGGAGGAGAGGGAGGCGCAGAAGAGGUACUGGGAGGAGCACUCCAGGGACCUCACCGUCGAGGCCAUGAUGCUCGACUCCCGCGCCGCCGAUCUGGACAAGGAGGAGCGCCCCGAGAUACUGUCUUUACUUCCUUCGUAUGAAGGAAAAUCAGUGCUGGAGCUUGGUGCUGGAAUAGGUCGCUUUACUGGUGAACUGGCUAAGACAGCUGGGCAUGUCCUCGCAAUGGAUUUCAUUGAAAGUGUGAUAAAAAAGAAUGAAAGCAUAAAUGGCCAUUACAAAAAUGCAUCCUUCAUGUGUGCUGAUGUUACAUCUCCGGACCUGGUGAUUGAGGAUAACUCCAUCGAUCUCAUAUUUUCUAACUGGUUACUGAUGUAUCUUUCGGACGCGGAGGUCGAGAAGCUUGUAGAAAGAAUGGUUAAAUGGCUAAAAGUUGGUGGCCAUAUCUUCUUUAGAGAAUCAUGUUUCCAUCAAUCUGGAGACUCAAAAAGGAAAGUGAAUCCGACACAUUAUCGUGAACCAAGGUUUUAUACUAAGGUAUUUAAAGAGGGCCAUGCCAUUGAUCAGAGUGGGAGCUCCUCUGAACUUUCUCUACUUACGUGCAAGUGCGUUGGAGCUUAUGUGAAGAACAAGAAGAAUCAAAACCAGAUAUGUUGGCUAUGGCAAAAAGUCAACUCAUCAGAAGACCGGGGAUUUCAACGAUUCUUGGAUAAUGUGCAGUACAAAACCAGUGGAAUAUUGCGCUAUGAGCGUGUUUUUGGGCAAGGUUUUGUGAGCACUGGUGGAAUUGAGACUACAAAAGAAUUUGUGGACUUGCUGGAUCUUAAACCUGGGCAGAAGGUGCUUGAUGUUGGAUGUGGAAUCGGGGGUGGUGAUUUUUAUAUGGCUGAAAACUAUGAUGUUCAUGUUGUUGGUAUUGAUCUGUCCAUAAACAUGGUUUCAUUUGCACUCGAGCAUGCCAUUGGACGCAAGUGUGCAGUAGAGUUUGAAGUAGCUGAUUGCACCACGAAGACAUACCCAGACAGUACGUUUGAUGUUAUCUACAGCCGUGACACCAUCCUCCACAUACAAGAUAAACCCUCUUUGUUUAGAAGUUUUUUCAAAUGGCUAAAACCUGGGGGUAAGGUCCUAAUCAGUGAUUACUGUAGGAGUCCAGGAAAACCAUCUGAAGAGUUUGCGGCAUACAUUAAGCAGAGAGGUUACGACCUUCAUGAUGUAGAAGCUUAUGGACAGAUGCUACAGAAUGCUGGUUUCCAUGAUGUCAUUGCUGAAGAGCGCACUGAUCAGUUCCUAAAAGUUUUACAGAGGGAGCUAGCUGAAGUUGAAAAGAACAAAGAUGAAUUUCUGGCCGACUUUGGUCAGGAGGACUAUGACGAUAUUGUGACUGGGUGGAACGCGAAACUUCAGAGGAGCUCUGCUGGUGAGCAGAGGUGGGGGCUGUUCAUCGGGACCAAGUGA